GACCCCCAAAUUUGAUUCUUAAAUAGCACAGGUGUUCUAUCCACGUAGUACCCCCUUUAGCGCUGCGCUGACCCCACUGCCUGCACGAGCCUUUUGCUCUGCAGAGCCUGCACCCUUCUCUGCCCAGACUUAUGACCCCGCACCUGCGGGAGUAAACAGCCCCACCUGCAGGUAGACCUGGGCCUCAGGUCACCUCUUUCUUUCCAGUCUCAGGCCCACCAACAAAUUAUUUACUUUUUUUAAUCCUAACUUUCUAUAUUUACAUAAUAUUGCAACUAUUGUUGUUAAUAAUGUAACAAUAUCCAACAGGUUCUCAUCCUUCAGAUGAGGCACCUGAGCUCCUGAGAAAGGGAAGCAAGCAUCUAAGCUGGCCCCUGGGAUUGAAUCCAGGUCCAAUGCCAAGCUGGGAGUUUCACAGGGGACUGUCACGGCCGCGUUCCUGGAUCAUCCAGUCUGGAAAUCCACCUCCAGUUUCUUACUGAAAACUCUGUGUGCACAAUGGAGUGGGCAGUUCCCAGGGCAUUCCUCAUAAUUUAUAAAAGGACAGUACAAAUUUGACUGAUUCCUCUUGAGAAACUGCAUGCACAAGGGGGCAAUGGCCAGACCACAUUGGAAAAUAGAACUCUGACUCAGACCUCAGCAGCAACAGCCCGGGACCAUCAGAACUGUGUCAAAACCUGGCAGCUUCCCUAAUAUUUGACUUGCCUCUUCUGACUCAGGACCAACCAAGGAAGCCAACCAAACACGUCCCCCAAACCACUCACGUAGGAUACCCGGGUUCUAGUUGACCCACCUCAGCUUCCCCAAGACAAAAUCCUCUGUUCAGGGCACAUCUGAAUGAAGCCUUCCCUUUUUACCAUAAAGCUUUCACUGUCUUCUCUCUGCCUUGGAGUCUCUGCCCAUCACAAGCAACAGUGGCUGACUCUUGCUUGUUUGUUCUCAUUUGGGGUGUUUUCUUUGACUUUCAUACUUUUGAAGAACUAUAAAGUUGGAAGAAUGACCUGUCUCUGCACUGCCAUCAAUGUCACAACCAGCCAGAUCUUGGGUGGCAGUUUCUUCCAGCCACCCAAAGCAGAACAAUUUUUGUGCUGAGAGAGCAGCUGCAGUUACCGCAUGAGAACUCAGGCUGGGCAAGCUGAGGCUUUCCUAGAACAUAAAUGCAUGGACACUUCUCACUCCAUCCUGGCGUGUCAGCAAUCCACGCUCUGGAAAUGCAUUUUCAAAUUCUUUAGAUACUUCCCACCAUUAAAUGAUUCCCGGCUGCCCUGGGUGGCCUUGCAAACAUUCUGCUGCACGUGGCUCUUUGUCUGCCCUGGUUCCUCUAGCUUUGCUGCCAGCCACACAGUUUAGCAGUGGGUCAGCGUGCGUUGGUUCACAGCUGAUUUGCACUCUUUGCUAAUUGAUUUCUGUCUGUGUCUUAUCACUAUAAGCAAAAAUCUCUCCAGAAGCUUAAAGAGAGUGAGGGGAAAUUGCUAUCUUCAACUAGGAAAAGAUAAGAAGCAAAUCAUUAUUGACCUUGUCACCUUGCCUUGGUCACCCUGGAAAGAAGAGGGACCAGAGUGGCCUAGGUUUUCCUUAUUCCUAUUCUUAUCCAGGAAGUCUUGGAUUUAGGGGUGACUAUAUAUCAUAUAUGUGUGAAUAUAUAUUAUAUAUGUGUAUAUAUAUUACACACAAAUAUAUCACACAUAUUACACAUAUACAUAUGUAUCACAAAUGCAUAAAUAUAUACGCUUACAUAUGUAUAUUUGUUAUGAAUUAUAAAUGCAUGUAUUUUUUAUGACAGUCAACUGAAGCCUUCUCUUUUUAAAAAUUUUUUUCACUUAUUUUAAAGUAGACUUGAUUCACAAUGUUGUGCCAAUUUCUGCUGUACAGCAAAGGGAUGCAGUCGUGCAUAUGUGUAUAUAUAUUCUUUUUAAAAUAUUAUUUUCUAUCAUGGUCUAUCCUGGGAGAUUGGAUAGAGUUCGCUGUGCUCAGAGUAGGGUCUUAUUAUCUAUCCACUCUAAAUGCAAUAGUUUGUGCCUAUUAGCCCCAAACUCCCAGUCCAUCCCACUCCCUACCCCCUCCCCCUUGGCAACCAUAAGUCUGUUUUCUGGAGUCUGUUUCUUUUUUACAGAUAGGUUUAUUUGUGCCAUAUUUUAGAUCCACAUAUAAAUGAUAUCGUAUGGUAUUUGUCCUAUUUCUGACUCACUGCACUUAGUUUGAUAAUCUCUAGUUGCAUCCAUGUUGCUGCAAAUGACAUUAUUUCAUUCAUUUUAUGGCAAAGUAAUAUUCCAUUGUGGGUAUAUAUAUAUACACUACAUCUUAAUCUGUUCAUCUCUCAGUGGGCAUUUAGGUUGUUUCCAUGUCUUGGCUGUUGUGAAUAGUGCUGCAAUGAACAUUGGGGUGCAUGCAUCUUUUUGAAUCAUGGUUUCCUCUGGAUAUAUGCCCAGGAGUGGGAUUUCUAGAUCAUAUAGUGGUUCUAUAUUUAGUUUUCUAAGGAACAUCCAUAAUGCUUUCCAUAGUAGUUAUUCCCACCAAUGGUGUUGGAAGGUUCCCUUUUUCCCACACCCUUUCCAGCAUUUGUUAUUUGCAAACUAUUUUUAAUGAUGGCCAUUCUGACUGGUGUGAGAUGGGACCACAUUAUAGUUUUAAUUUUCAUUUCUCUAAUAAAUAGUAGUGUUGAGCAUCUUCUCGUGUGCCUGUGGCCAUCUGUUUGUCUUCUUUGAAGAAAUGUCUACUUGGGUCUUCUGCCCAGUUUUUGAUUGGGUUGUUUGGUUUUCUGUUGUUGAGUUAUAUGACUUAUGUGUAUAUUUUGGAAAUUAAGCCCUUGCCAUUUGCAUCAUUUGCAACAGUUUUCUCCCAUCGUAUAUGUUGUCUUUUCAUUUUUUUUUUUAUGGUUUCCUUUGCUGUGCAAAAAGCUUGUAAGUUUGAUUAGGUGAAGCCCUCUUUUUAAUUGGAAUGAAUACUGCAGACAGAAAGCAUGGAUUACCAAUAACUUAAAGAAUCACCAUGUAUUCCUGCUUAUGAAUAGGGGUAACAGGCUUUAAUUGAUCUAACUUUCAGGGAUUUGUAAAAAUACAAGGAAGCACAGAAAAGAAUAUCAACCACAAAUACUGAACAAAUGUUGUCAUUCGGUCAAGGAGGCUGGAACCCUCUCCCAGUAUCCUCCCUGCCUUGUCCUCCCCAGAGAGGCUGCAGGUGUCAUGCUUAGUGUUUAGUGCUAGUGUCCCUGAGAAGGGGACAAAAGAGAGACGGCCUGGAGACCAUGGUGACACUGAUGGGCCCUAAGCAUUGUCCACAUCCUGCUGGGUCAGGAAAGCGGGACUCGUUGUUCUGGCAGAGCCGUGGGCCCCACGCUGGCAACCCAACCACUGGAAUCCCCUCCUCUGACUGUGGUUCUCCAAGGACCCUUUGGAGAGAUGCAGUGGGAGGUUGUCUCUUCUGGGGCAGUACUGCUUAGAAACCUGCUCACCCACCCCUGGUUUGGGGCCACAGGGUCACCAUAGGGUGUAAACCACACCAAUUUGUGUUUACAGCAGAGUCCAGGUGUCACUGAGAAUACAGUCCUGUGGCUUUCUGUUCAUUUUUAUUUGGUCAACAAUGAAUUAGGGGUCAAUGAUGGAAUCAAAGACAAGUCUAGGCUAUUCUCCCUCUUAGAAAUAGACCUGAAUAUUUCCCAGGUCUACAAAGUUCAGUUUAAUAUGUAUCUCGCUCUCUACCUCAAAACAGUGGUUGAAAAGCAAUAGAGAGUCUGCACUUUGCCUGGAGGUGGAAUCCUAGAUGCUGCCGUGGGCAGUUUUUUUUUGUUUUUUUUUUUUGUUUUGUUUUUUUUGUUUUUGUCUUUUUGUCUUUUGUUGUUGUUGUUGCUAUUUCUUGGGCCGCUCCCGCGGCAUAUGGAGGUUCCCAGGCUAGGGGUUGAAUCGGAGCUGUAGCCACCGGCCUACGCCAGAGCCACAGCAACGCGGGAUCCGAGCCGCGUCUGCAACCUACACCACAGCUCACGGCAACGCCGGUUGGUUAACCCACUGAGCAAGGGCAGGGACCGAACCUGCAACCUCAUGGUUCCUAGUCAGAUUCGUUAACCACCGUGGGCAGUUUUUAAACAAGGCUUGGGCCUGGGAGACCCAGGCCUGACCCUGAUUCCCUUCUCAUCGUCAACUGUAUUUCCUGCCCCAAAUCCUCUAUGGGCACCGAUUUUAGUUGACCCGUGGGAGUUGGGCUUCUCCAGCACUAAAUACUCUGGUCUAAACCGUCAUCUUCAAUCACUGGUCCCAGGGAGAACACGCCUGUCUUGGCAAAACUAUAUUUUCUUCCUGUAUUGAUUUUAGAGACCCCACCACGUUGACAUCUUUCUCUCGAUUCCUUUUAAAGUUCAGCCACCAUAGGCAACGGGCACGAGUCACACGACACAACAGAAAACAGUUUAAGAAAAUGCUACCCCAGAGCAGGUUUCUCUUGUCCUUGGAAACAGCCUGGCAUGAAGAGCAGUCUUUGCUUCCUCCACUUAAUUUGCCUCAGCCGAGCCUGCAGUCAGCAUCUCUCACCGGGCCCACCUCAGCUCCAGGGGCCAUUCGAGGGACCAGCUGGAGUUUUCUGGUGACCAGGCCAUGUGCAAGUUGCUGGGAGCGAAGAGAUGAAAGAUAAAGAUUGUCUAAGACAAUGCGAAUGACCCCACUGAGCCAGAGUCCAUCUCCAACAAAGGGAGCCUCCUUCGAGUAAAGAAGUCAGCGCUGCAACAUCCAAGUGUAGCAGCCAUUCCAGCUGUGAGUGACUGGCUGCCACGGCGUCGUCUCCAGUAGUAUCUUCUCCAUGCUCCCACCGAGCCUCUGCUGCCAGGGAACCCAACCUGUAAGAAAAUAAGCAUGUCUCCUCGGAAUAUUGAAAGGAACGCACAGCAGAGUUCUCGGUGGCUCAGUGGGUUAAGGAUCCAGCAGUGGUGUGGGUUCCACCCCUGGUCCAGGAACGUCUGCCUGCUAUGGGCAUGGCCAAAAAAUGACCAAAAAUGCCUGUGCUCUCCAUUGUCCCGCCACAGCUCCCUGCACGUGCUUGCUUUGAGUCACGUGGAUUCUUCUCUGGCGAAUGACAUGAGGGCUGCCAUUCUUUCUCUGAAGGAGAACCGCAGGCACAGGCAGGACGUGAGGGCCUCUGGCACCUGUGUUCAGCUCUGUCUGUCCUUUUGGAGUUGCUGCCAGAGAGCUUCCUUCUUGGGCUCUGUCUAGAUUUCAUUUAAAAAAAAAAAAAAUCUGUUAGACAUGACGCUGUUUUUACAUGCAUUCCCUUUGGGACCAUUGUAAUUCUCUGAUAUUUGAUUUAAAAUGCUGAUUUCUAUAAAAUUGCCAAGAGUUUCUG
RNAcentral lists this long non-coding RNA (5328 nucleotides) under Sus scrofa (pig). Its description in RNAcentral is "lncRNA (ENSSSCG00040020607.1)". Lineage: Eukaryota; Metazoa; Chordata; Mammalia; Artiodactyla; Suidae. The record is from RNAcentral.